CCUACGGGAGGCAGCAGUGGGGAAUAUUGGACAAUGGGGGGAACCCUGAUCCAGCCAUGCCGCGUGUGUGAAGAAGGCCCUCGGGUUGUAAAGCACUUUCAGUGAGGAAGAACGCCUGGUGGUUAAUACCCAUCAGGAAAGACAUCACUCACAGAAGAAGCACCGGCUAACUCCGUGCCAGCAGCCGCGGUAAUACGGAGGGUGCGAGCGUUAAUCGGAAUUACUGGGCGUAAAGCGCGCGUAGGUGGCUUGAUAAGCCGGUUGUGAAAGCCCCGGGCUCAACCUGGGAACGGCAUCCGGAGGUGUGGAGCGGACGGGCUGGAGAGGAGGGGGGAAGGCCCGGUGAGGGGGUGAAGUGGGGAGGGGGACGGAGGGGGAGCAGUGGUGGAGGCGGCAUUCUGGAAUGCGACUGACACUGAGGUGCGUUUGUGUGGGUAGCAGCUGGGAUGAGAUACGCCAGUAACA
RNAcentral lists this ribosomal RNA (465 nucleotides) under Vreelandella stevensii. RNAcentral's name for it is "partial 16S ribosomal RNA". It matches the Rfam family "Bacterial small subunit ribosomal RNA", at positions 338 to 795 of the family's 1533-position model. Lineage: Bacteria; Pseudomonadati; Pseudomonadota; Gammaproteobacteria; Oceanospirillales; Halomonadaceae. The record is from RNAcentral.